This 256-nucleotide ribosomal RNA is filed under the name uncultured bacterium. RNAcentral's name for it is "partial 16S ribosomal RNA". It matches the Rfam family "Bacterial small subunit ribosomal RNA", at positions 98 to 354 of the family's 1533-position model. The record is from RNAcentral.
CGGGACGGGUGAGUAACGCGUGGGCAACCUGCCCUUAUCUGGGGGAUAACAGUUGGAAACGACUGAUAAUACCGCAUAAUAUGGUUUGAAGGCAUCUUCUUUCCAUCAAAGAUUUAUCGGAUAAGGAUGGGCCCGCGUCUGAUUAGCUUGUUGGUGAGGUAACGGCUCACCAAGGCGACGAUCAGUAGCCGACCUGAGAGGGUGAUCGGCCACAUUGGAACUGAGACACGGUCCAAACUCCUACGGAAGGCAGCAG